CACUGGGAUAGCCUCGGGAAACCGAGGUUAAUACCGGAUACUCCAUAUUUGUCGCAUGGCGAAUAUGGGAAAGCUCCGGCGGCAAAGGAUGGGCCCGCGGCCUGGUUAGCUAGUUGGUGGGGUAGUGGCCUACCAAGGCAAUGAUGGGUAGCCGGGUUGAGAGACCGACCGGCCAGAUUGGGACUGAGACACGGCCCAGACUCCUACGGGAGGCAGCAGUGGGGAAUCUUGCACAAUGGGCGAAAGCCUGAUGCAGCGACGCCGCGUGCGGGAUGAAGGCCUUCGGGUCGUAAACCGCUUUCAGCAGGGACGAGGCCGCAAGGUGACGGUACCUGCAGAAGAAGCCCCGGCUAACUACGUGCCAGCAGCCGCGGUAAAU
This 379-nucleotide ribosomal RNA is filed under the name uncultured Atopobium sp. RNAcentral's name for it is "bacterial SSU rRNA". It matches the Rfam family "Bacterial small subunit ribosomal RNA", at positions 136 to 525 of the family's 1533-position model. Lineage: Bacteria; Bacillati; Actinomycetota; Coriobacteriia; Coriobacteriales; Atopobiaceae. The record is from RNAcentral.